GUACACUCCUGCGGGAGGCAGCAGUGGGGAAUUUUGGACAAUGGGCGAAAGCCUGAUCCAGCAAUGCCGCGUGAGUGAAGAAGGCCUUCGGGUUGUAAAGCUCUUUUGUCAGGGAAGAAACGGUGAGAGCUAAUAUCUCUUGCUAAUGACGGUACCUGAAGAAUAAGCACCGGCUAACUACGUGCCAGCAGCCGCGGUAAUACGUAGGGUGCAAGCGUUAAUCGGAAUUACUGGGCGUAAAGCGUGCGCAGGCGGUUUUGUAAGUCUGAUGUGAAAUCCCCGGGCUCAACCUGGGAAUUGCAUUGGAGACUGCAAGGCUAGAAUCUGGCAGAGGGGGGUAGAAUUCCACGUGUAGCAGUGAAAUGCGUAGAUAUGUGGAGGAACACCGAUGGCGAAGGCAGCCCCCUGGGUCAAGAUUGACGCUCAUGCACGAAAGCGUGGGGAGCAAACAGGAUUAGAAACCCGGGUAGUCCCA
Molecule: ribosomal RNA, 475 nt
Filed under: uncultured organism
Description: partial 16S ribosomal RNA
Rfam family: Bacterial small subunit ribosomal RNA
Source: RNAcentral